Mytilus californianus (California mussel) is the source of this 320-nucleotide long non-coding RNA. RefSeq lists it as uncharacterized. The record is from RefSeq and is a predicted model, not a curated record. The transcript is spliced from 2 exons. NCBI's taxonomy places the organism in Eukaryota, Metazoa, Mollusca, Bivalvia, Mytilida, Mytilidae.
ACACACUGAAAUGUCUCGCCUUCUUUACUAAUCAUUGAUAUUAUGUUGAUAGUCCUAAAUAUAAAGCUUUAUUACAACUGUCACAUAAACUAAACAUUAACCAAGUAAACUAAACAUUGACCAAUGAACCAUGAAAAUGAGGUCAAGGUCAGAUGACACCUGCCAGCUAGACAUGUAUACCUUACAAUCAUUCCAUACACCAAAUAUAGUAGACCUAUUGCAUACAGUAUAAGAAAAACAGACCAAAACACAACAACUUAACUAUAACCACUGAACCAUGAAAAUGAGGUCAAGGUCAGAUGACACCUGCAAGUUGGACA